Long non-coding RNA from Haliotis rubra (blacklip abalone), 227 nucleotides. RefSeq lists it as uncharacterized. The record is from RefSeq and is a predicted model, not a curated record. NCBI's taxonomy places the organism in Eukaryota, Metazoa, Mollusca, Gastropoda, Lepetellida, Haliotidae. The transcript has 3 exons.
AUGCUACCGCAGUAUUUAUAUGCAAGGAACAUGCAGUCAAACCUGUUGGGGUAAGACCCGCGGCAAUGUUUCACAAUGACCUUUAGGUAUCAGCAAAAUUGAAACAAUACAGUAGUAUGGCAUAUUUACGCCGUAGGCAUGUGCAUCGUCACAGAGGCUGGCAAAGGUAGGUCAGAAAACAACAACAAUGAAGUGAGCAGUGAUCUCACUGGCUUAGCCGGACGAUA